RNAcentral lists this ribosomal RNA (798 nucleotides) under Triticum aestivum (bread wheat). Its description in RNAcentral is "partial small subunit ribosomal RNA". Lineage: Eukaryota; Viridiplantae; Streptophyta; Magnoliopsida; Poales; Poaceae. The record is from RNAcentral.
AUGGCUAGAAAGGAUCUGUCUUCUCGCCGGCGCCGGCUCCCCCUCCGGCGGCCGCGCGAUGAGGACCGCCUCAAUGCCCUCUCCGACGACCUGAUCCUCCAGAUCCUGGGCCGUCUCGACACCCGCAGCGCGCUCGGCGCCGCCGCGCUCUGCAGGCGCUUGGCCCACCUCCCUCGCGAGCUCCCCGCCCUGGAUCUCAAGGUCAGCGACGCGCUCCCGCCGCGCUACCGGCGGUGGCUCGACCUCCUCAACGAGGCAGUCACAUCGGACGCGCUACGCGGGUGUAGCCGGAGGCUACGCCCCAUCAUCGGGCGGUACGAGCGCCGCGCCAUGCGCGCCAUGGUCAGCUCCGUCAGGAGCCUCAGAGCCCGCCGCCACCGGCGUGCGUGCAGCAGGCUGUCGCUCGAGUUCUUCGCCUUCAGCACCUCCGCCAGCAUCAACCGCUUGGUCGUGGACGCCGUCGAUUCCUGGGGUGUCGAGGAUCUGGAGGUCGUUGCCAAGUCGACGGAGCCGAUCACACAUCUUCGUCCGGUCUACACGUUCCCCCGUGGUCGUAUCAGCAGGAAGCCCGGCGAGUCCCGCCUUCGAAGCCUCAAGCUCGUCAAUUGCUUGCCCCCGCCGCUGGAUGGCUUCACCGCGCUCACCACGCUGCUGCUGCGGGACCUGCCCUGCUCUACGCCGGCGGCCGUCUACGAGGGCGUGGUCGCUGCGUGCCCGCAGCUGCGGGUUCUGCAUCUCGUCGCCUGCUCCUUCGACAAGGAUACGGCCCGUUGGCUGGUGUUCGACGCGCCCAUGUAA